RNAcentral lists this long non-coding RNA (208 nucleotides) under Elaeis guineensis (African oil palm). RNAcentral describes it as "long non-coding RNA (EGUI_LNC044619)". Lineage: Eukaryota; Viridiplantae; Streptophyta; Magnoliopsida; Arecales; Arecaceae. The record is from RNAcentral.
UGAAUAGGCCAGUUCAGUCUUCCAACAUGCUACCCCUCCUAAACUUAAAGAUUCAGAUACCCCUAUCAUCUCUUGUGUCAUAGGGAACCUACACAUUGAGAAAGCAUUGUUAGAUUUAGAUGCGAGUGUGAACCUUCUCCCGAGCUCUGUGUAUGAUCUAUUUAGACUUGGAGAAUUGAAGCCCAUGAUGGUAACCUAACAAUUAGCA